RNAcentral lists this long non-coding RNA (401 nucleotides) under Lathyrus oleraceus (garden pea). RNAcentral describes it as "Pisum sativum (pea) long non-coding RNA (PSAT_LNC016626)". Lineage: Eukaryota; Viridiplantae; Streptophyta; Magnoliopsida; Fabales; Fabaceae. The record is from RNAcentral.
AAAUAGCUACUUCUAAAACCUAAAAGGGUUCCUCGGUUUUUCCACGCUCACAUUGCCGAAGCUUUACCAAUUUUCUUUCUUUUCACGCUUUUGCUUAUUUUUCUUUUCCAGCAACUUAACAUUGUUUAUUUUAUUUAUUUCUUUUGCAAGUUCUACAUUCUUUUUCCCUUGCAAUUUACCUUUCCCUUUUUAGCAUUUAGAUAUUUUUCGCAUAAUAGUUUCUACACCGGAAACUAUUGUGCAACUUUUUAUCGGAUCUAACCUUACGUUAGAUUCUAGUUUUAUUUCCUUGGUUUAAUUUAUUGUUUAAUUGAAGAAUCCAAGAACAAAUCCUACCGGCUUGUGGUGGAGUGUUCAAGACUAUUGUAUUACGCAUUCAGGUUCUUUAAUCAUUAUUUAAU